CGUAACAAGGUUUCCGUAGGUGAACCUGCGGAAGGAUCAUUACCUAGAGUUUGUAGACUUCGGUCUGCUACCUCUUACCCAUGUCUUUUGAGUACCUUCGUUUCCUCGGCGGGUCCGCCCGCCGAUUGGACAACAUUCAAACCCUUUGCAGUUGCAAUCAGCGUCUGAAAAAACAUAAUAGUUACAACUUUCAACAACGGAUCUCUUGGUUCUGGCAUCGAUGAAGAACGCAGCGAAAUGCGAUAAGUAGUGUGAAUUGCAGAAUUCAGUGAAUCAUCGAAUCUUUGAACGCACAUUGCGCCCCUUGGUACUCCAUGGGGCAUGCCUGUUCGAGCGUCAUUUGUACCUUCAAGCUCUGCUUGGUGUUGGGUGUUUGUCUCGCCUCUGCGUGUAGACUCGCCUUAAAACAAUUGGCAGCCGGCGUAUUGAUUUCGGAGCGCAGUACAUCUCGCGCUUUGCACUCAUAACGACGACGUCCAAAAGUACAUUUUUACACUCUUGACCUCGGAUCAGGUAGGGAUACCCGCUGAACUUAAGCAUAUCA
Molecule: ribosomal RNA, 544 nt
Filed under: uncultured fungus
Lineage: Eukaryota; Fungi
Description: eukaryotic LSU rRNA
Rfam family: 5.8S ribosomal RNA (bases 186-339)
Source: RNAcentral